RNAcentral lists this ribosomal RNA (100 nucleotides) under Klebsiella pneumoniae. RNAcentral describes it as "partial 23S ribosomal RNA". It matches the Rfam family "Bacterial large subunit ribosomal RNA", at positions 1 to 100 of the family's 2925-position model. Lineage: Bacteria; Pseudomonadati; Pseudomonadota; Gammaproteobacteria; Enterobacterales; Enterobacteriaceae. The record is from RNAcentral. RNAcentral also lists the same sequence under 3 other names.
GGUUAAGCGACUAAGCGUACACGGUGGAUGCCCUGGCAGUCAGAGGCGAUGAAGGACGUGCUAAUCUGCGAAAAGCGUCGGUAAGGUGAUAUGAACCGUU